CAGACACGGUGAUGACAUGAUUGUUACCCCUUUUGCACAGGUUCUGGCGAGUUUAAGAACUGUCCGGAAUAAUUUUGCUGCUUUAACAAAUGUACAACAGGAAAGGCCCAAUAACAAGAGAUCCCCCAUAUGUAACCCGCCUCCCAUCACAAAGACCUCCUACACAGGUGUC
This is a long non-coding RNA of Sinocyclocheilus anshuiensis, 172 nucleotides long. RefSeq lists it as uncharacterized. The record is from RefSeq and is a predicted model, not a curated record. The transcript is spliced from 3 exons. NCBI's taxonomy places the organism in Eukaryota, Metazoa, Chordata, Actinopteri, Cypriniformes, Cyprinidae.